CGGAGGGUGCAAGCGUUAAUCGGAAUUACUGGGCGUAAAGCGCACGCAGGUGGCUGAGUCAGUCGAUUGUGAAAGCCCUGGGCUUAACCUGGGAAUUGCAGUCGAUACUACUCAGCUAGAGUAUGGGAGAGGGUAGUGGAAUUCCCGGUGUAGCGGUGAAAUGCGUAGAUAUCGGGAGGAACAUCAGUGGCGAAGGCGGCUACCUGGCCCAAUACUGACACUCAGGUGCGACAGCGGUGGGGAGACAAACAGGAUUAGAUACCCUGGUAGUCCACGCCGUAAACGAUGAGAACUAGAUGUCGGGGGGGAUUAGCCCCUCGGUGUCGUAGCUAACGCGCUAAGUUCUCCGCCUGGGGAGUACGGCCGCAAGGUUG
RNAcentral lists this ribosomal RNA (374 nucleotides) under uncultured organism. RNAcentral's name for it is "bacterial SSU rRNA". It matches the Rfam family "Bacterial small subunit ribosomal RNA", at positions 526 to 896 of the family's 1533-position model. The record is from RNAcentral.